GACGAACGCUGGCGGCGUGCUUAACACAUGCAAGUCGAACGGAAAGGCCCUGCUUUUGUGGGGUGCUCGAGUGGCGAACGGGUGAGUAACACGUGAGUAACCUGCCCUUGACUUUGGGAUAACUUCAGGAAACUGGGGCUAAUACCGGAUAGGAGCUCCUGCUGCAUGGGGGGGGUUGGAAAGUUUCGGCGGUUGGGGAUGGACUCGCGGCUUAUCAGCUUGUUGGUGGGGUAGUGGCUUACCAAGGCUUUGACGGGUAGCCGGCCUGAGAGGGUGACCGGCCACAUUGGGACUGAGAUACGGCCCCGAAUCCUACGGGAGGCAGCAGUGGGGAAUAUUGCACAAUGGGCGGAAGCCUGAUGCAGCAACGCCGCGUGCGGGAUGACGGCCUUCGGGUUGUAAACCGCUUUCGCCUGUGACGAAGCGUGAGUGACGGUAAUGGGUAAAGAAGCACCGGCUAACUACGUG
This 468-nucleotide ribosomal RNA is filed under the name uncultured bacterium. RNAcentral describes it as "partial 16S ribosomal RNA". It matches the Rfam family "Bacterial small subunit ribosomal RNA", at positions 28 to 507 of the family's 1533-position model. The record is from RNAcentral.